UCUUAUGUACAUGCCUACAACGUUAAUGCAUUGGAUCUCAUCAGAACUUCGCAAUUAAGCGUUCUUGGGAUAGAGUAGUAUUGGGAUGGGUGACCUCUUGGGAAGUCCUAGUGUUUUACAUGCC
Molecule: non-coding RNA, 124 nt
Organism: Picea glauca (white spruce)
Lineage: Eukaryota; Viridiplantae; Streptophyta; Pinopsida; Pinales; Pinaceae
Source: Rfam